RNAcentral lists this ribosomal RNA (447 nucleotides) under uncultured bacterium. Its description in RNAcentral is "partial 16S ribosomal RNA". It matches the Rfam family "Bacterial small subunit ribosomal RNA", at positions 29 to 523 of the family's 1533-position model. The record is from RNAcentral.
AACGAACGCUGGCGGCAGGCUUAACACAUGCAAGUCGAGCGCCCCGCAAGGGGAGCGGCAGACGGGUGAGUAACGCGUGGGAAUCUACCCAUCACUACGGAACAACUCCGGGAAACUGGAGCUAAUACCGUAUACGUCCUUCGGGAGAAAGAUUUAUCGGUGAUGGAUGAGCCCGCGUUGGAUUAGCUAGUUGGUGGGGUAAUGGCCCACCAAGGCGACGAUCCAUAGCUGGUCUGAGAGGAUGAUCAGCCACACUGGGACUGAGACACGGCCCAGACUCCUACGGGAGGCAGCAGUGGGGAAUAUUGGACAAUGGGCGCAAGCCUGAUCCAGCCAUGCCGCGUGAGUGAUGAAGGCCCUAGGGUUGUAAAGCUCUUUCACCGGUGAAGAUAAUGACGGUAACCGGAGAAGAAGCCCCGGCUAACUUCGUGCCAGCCGCCGCGGUAA